This 525-nucleotide ribosomal RNA is filed under the name uncultured bacterium. RNAcentral's name for it is "partial 16S ribosomal RNA". It matches the Rfam family "Bacterial small subunit ribosomal RNA", at positions 34 to 540 of the family's 1533-position model. The record is from RNAcentral.
AUUGAACGCUGGCGGCAGGCCUAACACAUGCAAGUCGAGCGGAUGAAGGGAGCUUGCUCCUGGAUUCAGCGGCGGACGGGUGAGUAAUGCCUAGGAAUCUGCCUGGUAGUGGGGGAUAACGUCCGGAAACGGGCGCUAAUACCGCAUACGUCCUGAGGGAGAAAGUGGGGGAUCUUCGGACCUCAUGCUAUCAGAUGAGCCUAGGUCGGAUUAGCUAGUUGGUGGGGUAAAGGCCUACCAAGGCGACGAUCCGUAACUGGUCUGAGAGGAUGAUCAGUCAAACUGCAACAGAAGCAGGUGCCAUGCUGCCAGGAGGGGGAGCGGGGGGAAAUAGUGGAGAGGGCGCCACAGCCUACGCGGGCGUCGCGGCGUUGGUGAAGAAGGUGUGCGGAUGAUAAAGUGUUUACAGGUGGGAGAAAGGGAAUUAAUUGAACCUCUUGCUGUUUUGACGUUCCAAAAAGAAUAAGCACCAGCUAACUUCGUGCACGCGGCCGCGAUAAUAGGCGGUAGCGCACCCGUCGGUUC